This is a ribosomal RNA of Pteropus vampyrus (large flying fox), 119 nucleotides long. The record is from Ensembl. Lineage: Eukaryota; Metazoa; Chordata; Mammalia; Chiroptera; Pteropodidae.
GUCCACAGCCAUGCUAUCUUGAACAAGUCAGAUACCGUCUGAUUUCGGAAGCUGAGCAGGGUUGGGCCUGGUUAGUACUUGGAUGGGAGACCACCUCGGAAGACCAGGUGGUGUAGGUG